AAAAGUGUGAGUGGAGUGGAGUGGAGGCUCAUGGGAGAAAUAUGACUUGAAUAAUUGUUUUGUUAUACUUUGAUUUAAUUAUUUAAGGUGAUACCUUUUAAUUCAAGUCUAUUCCCAUAUUAUUAACUUUGGAGGCUCAAGUUGAUACAGAAAGCAAGUCUCAUAGCGAAUAUGAGAUCAAUCAACAAUACUGAGUCAAUAUACCCCAAACUCACUCAAUGAGACAAUGAGGUUGAACGACAAGAACUCGGCUCCAAGAAUACAUCAAAGCACCUAGAGUCAAACAAGGUAGUUCAAAUCAGUAAAGGCUCGCAAGGCUCAUGUAGUAUAGCAGUUCAUGGUGAACUGUUGGAACAUAUCAUAUAAAGAGUUCAACAUCAUAUCAAUCUGAGUCUUUAAAGUCAAUGGUUGAACCCAAAUUAUCCGCCAUGUUGAAGUGUGCAAUCAUAAUCAACAUACGACCAUAUGAAGGCGUUUCGAGUUUCAUGCGAAUGUUAUUUAAGGUAUGAAUGACUUCAAAACGAAUCCUCCUACUUUAAUGAACAUACACGUCCCGAAGACUUUGUAGCAUAUCAUAGGAGGUACUAUAACCUUCAAGAUUUUGCUAUAACAUCUUGAUAUUGAAACCUAAAUGUAACAAGAAGUCGUCUUAUCUCCAUUCACACACUUAUAAUACGCAAUCAUCUUAGAUUUGUUUGUGCUCUUAGUAGAUUCCACACGACAUUCCUCCUCAAGCAUAAAAUCAAGUUUCUCCACAAUAAGUAUAAAAACCAAAAUACGUUUCCAAUCCACACAAUUUUUUCCUUUAAGUUGGUUUUAUGUUAGAAUAACAAAAAGUGACUUAACAGACAUUUUGCUGAAAAAUAACCAUAUACCGAUAUUAAAUAACAAUUUUGCAUAUGAUGAAUGAACGCAUAUCUAAAUCCAUAAAACUAAAAUGAUUUCACAAUUUUUGUUUAUUGUGAUCCAACAUGCACAUCCAUAAGAAACGUCACCGUGUCCAUCAAAUAAUCGAACUACAUGUCCCUUCUAUAGGAAGUCCGUUGUGGCACGAUG
This 1056-nucleotide long non-coding RNA is filed under the name Olea europaea subsp. europaea. Lineage: Eukaryota; Viridiplantae; Streptophyta; Magnoliopsida; Lamiales; Oleaceae. The record is from RNAcentral.